CUUCCUUUGGGGAGCUUUUCAUUGUGAGCCUAAAUCUUCUCUUAUAGGUUUAGAGGUUUGAAGGACUUCAAUUGUGUGACAAAACUCUGGUGGCAGAGGUGCCCAAUCUUCAGCAGUUGCAUCAGCAAAAAGCAUGAGUCAGAAGCUGAUGUUGGUGGUACAGCAGAAGAGGCUGAACCUUCCCACCACUAUUUCCUUCCGUAUUGUUGGCAUGUGACAGAUGGCAGCAUAGGCACAGUCUGUCAAAAUGAAAGUGAAGUGUGGAUGAAGCAAAGGUGUCACUGAAUUCCUCUAUGCAGAAAAAAUGGCACCUACUGACAUUCAUUGAUGCUUGCUGAACAUUGAUGGAGACCAAACAGUGGAUGUGAGCACACAGUGGGGCAGUGGGUGGUGUUUCAGCAGUGGCGACAGUAACGUAAAAGACGAGCCUUGUUCCAGAUGGCUGUGCACAGCUGUUACACCACUAAAUGAAGAACAUCUCAAUCACCACGUGAACUGGUGGAUUUCGACCAGAGUAUUGUGUACAGAACUGAACAUCAUCUUAAAUGUGUUGGAAACAAUAGUGACAAUAUUGGAAUACUGUCAAGCUUGCAGCAGGUGGGUAUCAUGAAUGCUCACACUGGAACAGAAAGAACACUAUGCAAGUUUGUCAGGACCUACUGAACCAAUACAAGGCUGAAGGUGACAGUUUCCUGGAUCACAUCAUUACUAGUGACAAGCUGUGGUGCUACCACUAUGAGCUGAUGUCAAAAUUGCAAUCCACGGAGUGUUGUGAAUUCCUCACUGAAGAAAAGGUGCGCUCUGCAGCCUUCAGCAUUUAAAGUGAUGUGCACUGUCUUUUGAGACAGAAAAGGGACUGGAGAAGAGGAGGC
Tympanuchus pallidicinctus (lesser prairie-chicken) is the source of this 872-nucleotide long non-coding RNA. RefSeq lists it as uncharacterized. NCBI's taxonomy places the organism in Eukaryota, Metazoa, Chordata, Aves, Galliformes, Phasianidae. The transcript has 3 exons. The record is from RefSeq and is a predicted model, not a curated record.